Molecule: long non-coding RNA, 1418 nt
Organism: Sceloporus undulatus (fence lizard)
Lineage: Eukaryota; Metazoa; Chordata; Lepidosauria; Squamata; Phrynosomatidae
Exons: 3
Source: RefSeq, a predicted model, not a curated record
CCAUGAAAGUCCCUGGAACAGUCAGUCCUUCUGUCUGUCUGCCUGGCUUGCCUUGCAGGGUUGUUGCAAUCAUAAGGCUGCAAAGAGAAAGCGAAGUGCCAAUGUGACAACUAAACAAUGACAACAAGCAAACAAGACGACAGUGUUCCUUCUUCUCUAUAGUAAACUGGUUGCUUUUCAUCUCUAGCUCAUGCAAGUCAGUUACUGCCUUUUGGGUGCUAUAGUCCUCCUUUUCCAGGACAUGCCCUGGUGGCACAAGGCUGUGAGUUCAGUCCCAGCCAGGGGCUCUGGGUCGACUCAGCCAGGCAUCCUUCCAUAGGUCGCUAAUAUGAAAACCCAGCUUUGUUGGGGGCAAUUAUCUUACAGUUGUAAACUGCUCAUGGACUGCUCAUAGCAAUUCUUGCUAUUGUACUUGCUAUACAUCAUUUAAAUCUCCUGUCCUGUCCUCCAUUUCAACAUGAUAAAGAAGGAUAAGGUUACAUUUAUAUUAGUCUUACUGGCUUUUUUUUUUUAAAUUUUGUAAUGUCCUUCAUCUUUGUUGACUGUCCCACAUUUUAGGUUUUAUUUUGGCACGCCUUCCUUUUUUUUUGACACGCUCCACUUUCUCAAAGGAGGACAAGGCACAUGUUUUGCAGUGCCUUGUCCUCCUUUGCAGUUCGGACGUCUGGUCACCCUGGUCUGGGGUCAUCCAUUUUUGAGCCAGGCUCCAUUGUGGAGCAGAUCAUCUUGGGUUCUCAUUUUAAAAAUAAAGUAGAAUUCAUAAGACUGAUAUCUGCCCAUCUCUCUUUCACGUUUCUUGCAGUGUUUGUUGGCAGCAUGUGUUGUUGUUUCAUGAUUAAGACUGCAGCUUAUAUUAGAGUGCAGAGAAGCAAGUCACAAGUACGUGAUGAAGCUAUACAUAGAGUGAAGAAUGGGAACGGUUGCUUCUUCUCACUGUGUCUUAAUACUGGAACCUGGGGUCAUCCACUUCAGAUAAUUAGCAGAGACUCCCAAACUUUGAUCUUCCACAUGUUAUGGACUUCAGCUCCCAGAAGCCCCCACCAGUUUGGCUAACAGUCAAGACUUCUGGAAGUUGACAUUACUUUGGGAACAUGUACUAAACAGGAUACUUAAUUAUAACAGUUGGACCAUUUCUCAAGCUUUUGCCAAUGGUCACAUCACUGUAGGAUUUUUUAAAACAUUUCAAUAGCACAACAGUACCACAAAAGUUCAUAUCCUCUGAUGUUCUUCACACUUUGCAAAACAACUUUCUGGUAAUCUUUAACAUUCUUGCACUCCUUCCACAAAUAAAGUGACCUGUGCUAUUUUCCAACAAUGAGUUCAAUCAUGCAGAUUUCAGUGGGCCUAAGUAUGCUUAAACAUUUGAUUAUUGUGUUGUUGAUUCUUUAAUAUACAAGUGUUGUUUUUAUUAAAAGCUU